This 492-nucleotide ribosomal RNA is filed under the name uncultured bacterium. Its description in RNAcentral is "partial 16S ribosomal RNA". It matches the Rfam family "Bacterial small subunit ribosomal RNA", at positions 29 to 507 of the family's 1533-position model. The record is from RNAcentral.
AGUGAACGCUGGCGGCAGGCCUAACACAUGCAAGUCGAACGGCAGCACAGUAAGAGCUUGCUCUUACGGGUGGCGAGUGGCGGACGGUUCAGGAAUACAUCGCAAUCUACUUUUUCGUGGGUGAUAACGCAGGGAAACUUACGCUAAUACCGCAUACGGCCUACGUGGGAAAGCAGGGGAUCUUCGGACCUUGCGCGAUUGUAUGAGCCGAUGUCGGAUUAGCUAGUUGGCGGGGUAAAGGCCCACCAAGGCGACGAUCCGUAGCUGGUCUGAGAGGAUGAUCAGCCACACUGGAACUGAGACACGGUCCAGACUCCUACGGGAGGCAGCAGUGGGGAAUAUUGGACAAUGGGCGAAAGCCUGAUCCAGCCAUACCGCGUGGGUGAAGAAGGACUUCGGGUUGUAAAGCCCUUUUGUUGGGGAAGAAAAGCAGCAGGUUAAUACCCCGCUGUUCUGACGGUACCCAAAGAAUAAGCACCGGCUAACUUCGUG